This 490-nucleotide ribosomal RNA is filed under the name uncultured bacterium. RNAcentral describes it as "partial 16S ribosomal RNA". It matches the Rfam family "Bacterial small subunit ribosomal RNA", at positions 30 to 507 of the family's 1533-position model. The record is from RNAcentral.
AUUGAACGCUGGCGGCAGGCCUAACACAUGCAAGUCGAACGGUAACAGGAAGAUGCUUGCUUCUUUGCUGACGAGUGGCGGGCGGGUGAGUAAUGUCUGGGAAACUGCCUGAUGGAGGGGGACAACUACUGGAAACGGUAGCUAAUACCGCAUAACGUCGCAAGACCAAAGAGGGGGACCUUCGGGCCUCUUGCCAUCGGAUGUGCCCAGAUGGUCUUAGCUAGUAGGUGGGGUAACGGCUCACCUAGGCGACGAUCCCUAGCUGGUCUGAGAGGAUGACCAGCCACACUGGAACUGAGACACGGUCCAGACUCCUACGGGAGGCAGCAGUGGGGAAUAUUGCACAAUGGGCGCAAGCCUGAUGCAGCCAUGCCGCGUGUAUGAAGAAGGCCUUCGGGUUGUAAAGUACUUUCAGCGGGGAGGAAGGGAGUAAAGUUAAUACCUUGGCUCAUUGACGUUACCCGCAGAAGAAGCACCGGCUAACUCCGUG